RNAcentral lists this ribosomal RNA (943 nucleotides) under human oral metagenome. RNAcentral describes it as "bacterial SSU rRNA". It matches the Rfam family "Bacterial small subunit ribosomal RNA", at positions 350 to 1321 of the family's 1533-position model. The record is from RNAcentral.
AGCAGUGAGGAAUCUUCCACAAUGGGCGAAAGCCUGAUGGAGCAACGCCGCGUGCAGGAUGAAGGCCUUCGGGUUGUAAACUGCUUUUAUAAGUGAGGAUUAUGACAGUAACUUAUGAAUAAGGAUCGGCUAACUACGUGCCAGCAGCCGCGGUCAUACGUAGGAUCCGAGCGUUAUCCGGAGUGACUGGGCGUAAAGAGUUGCGUAGGUGGUUCGAUAAGCGAAUAGUGAAAUCUGGUGGCUCAACCAUUCAGACUAUUAUUCGAACUGUUGAACUCGAGAGCAGAAGAGGUAGCUGGAAUUUCUAGUGUAGGAGUGAAAUCCGUAGAUAUUAGAAGGAACACCGAUGGCGUAGGCAGGCUACUGGGCUGUUUCUGACACUGAGGCACGAAAGCGUGGGGAGCGAACCGGAUUAGAUACCCGGGUAGUCCACGCCGUAAACGAUGGAUACUAGCUGUUUGGGGUAUCGACCCCCUGAGUAGCGAAGCUAACGCGUUAAGUAUCCCGCCUGUGGAGUACGAUCGCAAGAUUAAAACAUAAAGGAAUUGACGGGGACCCGCACAAGCGGUGGAUCAUGUUCUUUAAUUCGAUGAUAACCGAUAAACCUUACCAGGUCUUGACAUCCUUGGAAUCUUUCAGAAAUGAGAGAGUGCUUUUUAAGAGCCAAGUGACAGGUGAUGCAUGGCCGUCGUCAGCUCGUGUCGUGAGAUGUUUGGUUAAGUCCAUCAACGAGCGCAACCCUUGUCAGUAGUUGUAUUUUUCUACUGAGACUGCCCCGGUAACGGGGAGGAAGGAGGGGAUGACGUCAGGUCAGUAUUUCCCUUACGUCCUGGGCUAGAAACGUGAUACAAUGGCUAGUACAAUGCGCAGCGAAGCCGCGAGGUGAAGCAAAUCGCAUCAAAGCUAGUCCCAGUUCGGAUUGUAGGCUGAAACUCGCCUGCAU